Molecule: ribosomal RNA, 468 nt
Filed under: uncultured bacterium
Lineage: Bacteria
Description: partial 16S ribosomal RNA
Rfam family: Bacterial small subunit ribosomal RNA
Source: RNAcentral
GACGAACGCUGGCGGCGUGCUUAACACAUGCAAGUCGAACGGAAAGGCCCUGCUUUUGUGGGGUGCUCGAGUGGCGAACGGGUGAGUAACACGUGAGUAACCUGCCCUUGACUUUGGGAUAACUUCAGGAAACUGGGGCUAAUGCCGGAUAGGAGCUCCUGCUGCAUGGUGGGGGUUGGAAAGUUUCGGCGGUUGGGGAUGGACUCGCGGCUUAUCAGCUUGUUGGUGGGGUAGUGGCUUACCAAGGCUUUGACGGGUAGCCGGCCUGAGAGGGUGACCGGCCACAUUGGGACUGAGAUACGGCCCAGACUCCUACGGGAGGCAGCAGUGGGGAAUAUUGCACAAUGGGCGGAAGCCUGAUGCAGCAACGCCGCGUGCGGGAUGACGGCCUUCGGGUUGUAAACCGCUUUCGCCUGUGACGAAGCGUGAGUGACGGUAAUGGGUAAAGAAGCACCGGCUAGCUACGUG